RNAcentral lists this ribosomal RNA (246 nucleotides) under uncultured microorganism. RNAcentral describes it as "partial 16S ribosomal RNA". It matches the Rfam family "Archaeal small subunit ribosomal RNA", at positions 330 to 575 of the family's 1478-position model. The record is from RNAcentral.
GCGCAGCAGGCGCGAAACUUCACACUGUGCGAAAGCACGAUGAGGGAAUCCCAAGUGCUUGCACGUAAGUGUAAGCUGUUUCUCUGUUUAAAACGCAGAGAGAGUAAGGGCUGGGUAAGACGGGUGCCAGCCGCCGCGGUAAUACCUGCAGCUCAAGUGGUGACCGUUAUUAUUGGGCCUAAAACGUCCGUAGCCGGUUUAAUAAAUGGCCUGGGGUAAAUCGUGUAGCUUAACUAUACGAAUUCC